UGGGGAAUAUUGGACAAUGGGCGAAAGCCUGAUCCAGCCAUGCCGCGUGUGUGAAGAAGGUCUUCGGAUUGUAAAGCACUUUAAGUUGGGAGGAAGGGCAGUAGAUUAAUACUCUGCUGUUUUGACGUUACCAACAGAAUAAGCACCGGCUAACUCUGUGCCAGCAGCCGCGGUAAUACAGAGGGUGCAAGCGUUAAUCGGAAUUACUGGGCGUAAAGCGCGCGUAGGCGGCUAGGUAAGAUGGGUGUGA
Molecule: ribosomal RNA, 250 nt
Filed under: uncultured bacterium
Lineage: Bacteria
Description: partial 16S ribosomal RNA
Rfam family: Bacterial small subunit ribosomal RNA
Source: RNAcentral